GAUCAUGGCUCAGGAUGAACGCUGGCGGCGUGCUUAACACAUGCAAGUCGAACGAAGCACUUAAGAUUGAUUCUUCGGAUGAUUUCUUUUGUGACUUAGUGGCGGACGGGUGAGUAACGCGUGGGUAACCUGCCUCGACACAGGGGGAUAACAGUUAGAAAUGACUGCUAAUACCGCAUAACCCGAUAGGAUCGCAUGAUCCGGACGGAAAAGAUUUAUCGGUGUGAGAUGGACCCGUCG
Molecule: ribosomal RNA, 240 nt
Filed under: uncultured bacterium
Lineage: Bacteria
Description: partial 16S ribosomal RNA
Rfam family: Bacterial small subunit ribosomal RNA
Source: RNAcentral